GUUCUUGGAUUUGAAUUGAUUACUCGGUUCACCUCAGAUUGAGCCAAAUUAGGGCUUAAUUGAUAAACUUGGCCCAAUCUUCUAAUUACCUGCAAAAUAUAUCAAGAAGCAUCAAAUUUCAUUUGAUAAAUAUUAAAUAUUACAAUAUUUGGUGCUUUUAUUAUUAUAAAUUAUGUGUUCAUCAUGCGUUUAUUGGAUU
RNAcentral lists this long non-coding RNA (199 nucleotides) under Elaeis guineensis (African oil palm). RNAcentral describes it as "long non-coding RNA (EGUI_LNC077282)". The record is from RNAcentral. Lineage: Eukaryota; Viridiplantae; Streptophyta; Magnoliopsida; Arecales; Arecaceae.